This 447-nucleotide unclassified non-coding RNA is filed under the name Hevea brasiliensis (rubber tree). The record is from RNAcentral. Lineage: Eukaryota; Viridiplantae; Streptophyta; Magnoliopsida; Malpighiales; Euphorbiaceae.
UUCACCACUCUGUUUCUGCCAUAGCCAAAAAUCGCAGAGAAAUUCUCAAUUUGUGAAGAAAGGAAGAAGAAGAAUUAUGCAUAAAACAGCACAAUCAUGGUUUACUGGAGGACCAAGUAACGAUCUGCAGAAGACCCCAUCGUCUCUGUUAGCUGAUUGGAAUGCUUAUGCUUCGACACAAGAUGAAGGUUCAUCGUCUGAUCUUGGGUUUGAUCUUGAAGCUGCUGUUAGAACGGCUAAUGACAAAGUUUCCGGCACAUUCAACGUGGUUACUAAAGGAGUAAAAAACUUACCAGGAAGCUUCCAAUCCGCAACCAGCAAUGUUCCUUCUGGGAAGUCCCUCAUGUACUUUGGCUUAUUUCUUGCAGCUGGUGUUUUCUUCAUCUUCAUUGCAUUCACUAUGUUCCUCCCUGUCAUGGUGCUGAUGCCUCAGAAAUUUGCUAUCUG